AUGGGCCAAACAGAUGCUAAGAAGCCGAGAGUAAAAAUGUCAUAAUAUUCCCUCCCUGUGCAAACUUGUUGAGAGGAGCCCAAGAUGAAGCACACAGAUGCUUCAGUCAGCUUCUCAGAAUAUUCUAAGACAUGCUCAGAGAGGUGAAAUAACACGUCUGCUAAAAAGAAAGGAAAAGUUGAAGACACGGCAAAAGCAGGCAAGGCCAUUAUGAAAGAGAAAUGAAAGCCUAUAUACCUCCUAAAGGAAGACAAAAAAGAAGUUCAAGGAUCCCAGUGCCCCCAAGAGGCCUCAUUUGGCUUUUUUCUUGUCCUGUUCUGAGUAUUGCCCAAAAAAUAAAGGAGAACAUCCCAGCCUAUACACUGUGAUGUUGUGAAGAAACUGGGAGAGAUGUGGAAUAACACUGCUGCAGAUGACAAGGAGCCUUAUGAAAAGAAGGCUGUGUGGCUGGAAAAAUAGGAAAGGGUAUUUCUGCGUGUUGAGCUAUAGGAAAGCCUGAUGCAGCAAAAAAGGGAGCCAUCAAGGCUGAACAAAGCAAGGAAAAGAAGGAAG
This 552-nucleotide long non-coding RNA is filed under the name Homo sapiens (human). RNAcentral describes it as "non-protein coding lnc-PHOX2B-5:1". Lineage: Eukaryota; Metazoa; Chordata; Mammalia; Primates; Hominidae. The record is from RNAcentral.